ACAAGAUGAAAAUGAGAUGAAAACGAGACAAAAGCGAGAUGAAAUCAAGAUGAAAAUGAAUAAAACAAGACAAAACUAAGAUGAUAAUGAGAUUUUUAAAAAAGAUGAAAAUGAGAUGAAAUCAAGAUGAAAAUUAGCCAAAAACAUGAUGAAAAUGAAAAGAAGAAGACAAAACUAAGAUGAUAAUGAAAUUUUUAAAAAGAUGAUGAAAAUUAGCCAAAAAUGAGAUAUAGUGAUGAAAAUUAAGGCCUUUUGUAUUUCUGUAUCUCCACAGCAACCUCAUCCUUCAGUAUGUCAGUCAUCACAAACAGGCCACAUCCACACACAAACACACACACACACACACACACACACAUCUUGGCUGGAAAACAACAUAUUUCGUUCUUUGUUUCUCGGGAAUAUGGCAUAAAGGUUUUGCUAAAAAUAUGGGCCAAACAAGAGAAAAAUGAGACAAAAAUGAGAUGAAAUUGAGAUGAAAAGUAGACAAAAACGAGAUGCUAACGCAAUUAAAACAAGGAGGAAAAGGAGAUUAAAAUUAGAUGGAAAUGAGACAAAAAGAUGAUGAAAAUGAAAAAAACUAAACUAAGAUGAUGAUGAAAUUAAAACACGAUGAAAAUGAAAAUGAGAUAAAGAGAUGAAAAUAAAGGCAUUUUGUAUUUCUGUAUCUCCAUGGCAACCUCAUCCUUCAGUAUGUCAGUCAUCACAAACAGACCACAUCCACACACACACACACAUCUUGGCUGGAAAACAACAUUUUUCAUUCUUUGUUUCUCUGGAAUAUGGCAAAAAAUACGUGCCAAAAAAAAAAAAAAAAAAAGCGGUAGAGGAAAAAAAAAAAAAAAGGCCCUCUCUCCCAGAUGACGGUUCAUGAUUCAGACAUGUUUGCACCGUGCUCGGUUUUGGCAAAAUGAUUCGAUUUGUUGAAGAGACACAUGAUCCAAACAAACAAGUCAACACGUCUCCCACACAACAGUCUUUCUCUGCAUCUCGUCUCCUCUUCCUCCUGUCGCCAUCAACCCUCCUCUUUUUACUCGCACAUGCACAUCAAGAUCUUUCUCCUCAGCCGCAAAGGAAAUGAAACUGUCCAUGAGUGCGUUCAUUAUCUGUCUGCUUUCAAAGUGUCUGGAUUUUGUCAGUUGCUCCUAAACUUUUGCAGGAUCGUAUGUAGUCUGAGCCCUGUGUGACCUGUGUGUAUAUUAUUAGCUAGUACAUAUCUCAGUAUUGUAUUAUCAAUGUGCUUUUUAAGUCUUUUAACUGUGGAUAAAGAUGCAUUAAUUACGAUGUCGUACCCUGGAUUCCAGCUGUUCCUUUCUCAUUCAUGCUGCGUAGCUUAGAGCCCAAUGAACUGAUUGAAAACAUCAAUCAAAACUUUUUCAUCCGUAGACUAUGGACUUGUAAUUACUGUGAUCAAUGUACUUUUAUAAUAAAAAAGACUCUAUGCAAAAA
Molecule: long non-coding RNA, 1446 nt
Organism: Sphaeramia orbicularis (orbiculate cardinalfish)
Lineage: Eukaryota; Metazoa; Chordata; Actinopteri; Kurtiformes; Apogonidae
Exons: 2
Source: RefSeq, a predicted model, not a curated record